RNAcentral lists this microRNA (24 nucleotides) under Eptesicus fuscus (big brown bat). RNAcentral describes it as "efu-miR-9186f". The record is from miRBase by way of RNAcentral. Lineage: Eukaryota; Metazoa; Chordata; Mammalia; Chiroptera; Vespertilionidae.
AUACUGCCAGACAUGCCACCUUUC